UACACCAUGGAACCGCCCACCGGCCUUUACCUUGCAGCCGCUGGGCCAGGCCGCGCGCAGCCCCGCCGGCCCAGGCCCCGCCUCCCGCCGGGCGCGCUCCUCACCCCGCAGCCCCCAGCCCGCUUCCGCCUCGACGCCAGGAGGCUCCGGACUCGCCUGCCCGCGGCCUCCGGGCAGCAGACACACGCCCCUCCACUAUUGGCUCUAGGAGGGAAAAGCCCAGAAGAAACUCUCACCUACUCACACUCGACCACGCUGCUCAGGGCGCCGGCGGUGUGGGUGCUCUGGGUAAGUUGUGUGGGGCCCGGGCCCAUUUGGGUCCACCCUGAUUCCUAACAGAAUGGACUGUGUCCCCCGGUGAAGCCCGCAACGUCCUGCGACUCUAAUCUAACCUUGGCCCUGGGGUCCCAGGGAGAAGACUUCCUGGGAAGUCCCAGGGGCUGUUCUGAGGAUGCUCAGAGCUCCCAGGGCAGCGGGAAGAGGACCCUUAACAAAGAGGAAAGGAACUUGUUUUUUCUGGUGGGAAUCCUACCUCAGCGUAGAACACUCCACAAAUGCUGGCAGAGCAGGUGGACUUGGGGGAGGCCUGAAAGCCCUGCCCUGUCGCUGACCCCAGUGGAUUUCAUGUCCUCCUGGACGUACUAACCUGCAGGGAGGCCGAGGGCAGGCAAGGCCGGCGCCCCCUGGCGUCGCGGAGGACGCGGGCUGCGCGCGGCUGAGGAGCGCGCCCGGCGGGAAGCGGGUCCUGGGCCGGCGGGGCUGCGCGCGCCUGGCUCAACUGCUGGCAGGGACGGGCUGCGGGAGGGUCUGCGUUAUGGUGAGCACUCUGGCCUCUGAAUUCAGUGAUCCCAGCUGAAGGGUCCCCGGUGGUUCCAUGGUGUGAUGGCGAGCACUCUGGACUCUGAAUCCAGCGUGAAUCCGAGUUCGAGUCUCGGUGGAACCUCGUCUUUGGGGCGGCGCUCAGCAGUUUUUACUCACUCCUGUUCUGCGUCGGACCCACGCGCUGCCCCGGAACCGCGAGGGCCACACGGACGUGGCAGCACCCGAGUCUUGAAGGGCUCUGAUGUCCCUGAGCAGCCAGGGUGACUGCCUCUGAGCUUUCGUGUUAACGGUUCAAGACCUGAAUUCCAAGCAGUGUUGUAUUCCGGUACUAUUUUAUUAAGAAUUUUAAUUGGCCUUUUUCCAGUUUAUUCUGAUUUUGUUCAGAAUUUCUCGCCCCUGAAUCUCCACUGGACACGAAAGCCGCUGUUAGGGUAAGACCGGAACCUCGACUCCAGGAAAUCUCGUCCUUCCGCCCCAGAAGAGGAGCCUGGGCCUCAGAUUCCAGCGUCUGAGG
RNAcentral lists this transfer RNA (1336 nucleotides) under Sus scrofa (pig). RNAcentral's name for it is "lncRNA (ENSSSCG00065006159.1)". The stretch from base 869 to 943 matches the Rfam family "tRNA". Lineage: Eukaryota; Metazoa; Chordata; Mammalia; Artiodactyla; Suidae. The record is from RNAcentral.